GACUAGCUAACUGAAUCACAAAAUCACAAAAUGUGCUUAUUGUGAUAACGUAAGGGAAAAAAUUGAUAUUACCUUACUAUAAGUGUUUGUCUAAAUAACUGGUGCCAGAAGACUCGGUAACACCAGAAACGCGAACGUUAGUCGUCUUAAACAGGCGUAAAGGGUAAGUAGGCUGCUUUAAAGUCUAUUUUUAAAUAAGCUAAUUAAUAAUAUUCCUCCCCUCUAAAAGCGACUACCUGCCUAGACAGGCAGUAAAUUUAAGAGGGUAGGCCCUGACUAAGAAAUUACAAAUUUUCAGACCUUAAUUUAUAAAUUAAGGCUAACUUAAAUUGAAAAUAGGGAAUAAUUAGCUGCUUCCCCCCGCGCAAGCGAGGGGUCGCUUAGACUAAUAAUAUUAAUUAUUAAAUGGGACAAAAUAGAUAUAUUUAAAGCUAGAAUCAUAAUUGAGAUAAACCAAAUAAUACUUAUGUGUAAGGGCGAUAUCUGAAAAUACUAAGUAGAAUACUAACGGUGAAAACUUUUUAUCUGGUAAUGAUUGACGCUGAGGUACGAAAGUGAGAACAGGGAAUAGGAUUAGAUACCCAGUUACCUCUCACCGUCAACGAUGAAUGGUAGUUGUUAGUUUAAUAUAAUUAGUGACGAUGUUAACGCGAUAACCAUUCCGCCUUGAGAGUACGGUUGCAAAACUGAAACCAAAUAAAAUUAGUCGGUCUCGGAGCAAA
Molecule: ribosomal RNA, 722 nt
Filed under: Inocybe cf. griseolilacina EL12006
Lineage: Eukaryota; Fungi; Basidiomycota; Agaricomycetes; Agaricales; Inocybaceae
Description: 16S ribosomal RNA
Rfam family: Bacterial small subunit ribosomal RNA
Source: RNAcentral